This 342-nucleotide ribosomal RNA is filed under the name Triticum aestivum (bread wheat). Its description in RNAcentral is "partial small subunit ribosomal RNA". Lineage: Eukaryota; Viridiplantae; Streptophyta; Magnoliopsida; Poales; Poaceae. The record is from RNAcentral.
AUGGCCGGAGCUGAUCACCUCAUGAGGAGUCACAUCUUGCUCCUCCGACACAAGUCCAUCAACACCCCAUUGCAGGAUCCAGUUAUACAGAAUGCAACAUGCAAGAACAAGCUUAACCUGGGUAGGGUAAGGGUGGAAUGGCUUCUAAUCCAGAAUCUUGAACCUGUUCUUCAGAGCUCCAAAUGCCCUAUCAACCGUUACUCUAAGGCUGGAGUGUCUCAGAUUGAACAGCUCCUGUGGAGUCAUAGGAUAGUUCCUACCAAAGAACUUGUUCAGAUGGUAUCUAGUUUUCCUGAAGGGUGGAAGAACACCUGGCCGACAUGCAUAGCCAGCAUCUCCUAG